Molecule: ribosomal RNA, 490 nt
Filed under: uncultured bacterium
Lineage: Bacteria
Description: bacterial SSU rRNA
Rfam family: Bacterial small subunit ribosomal RNA
Source: RNAcentral
AAGGGGUUUUGAUCCUGGGCUCAGAAUGAACGUUGGCGGCGUGGAUUAGGCAUGCAAGUCGCGCGAGAAGUCUUUUAUUGAAGCUUCGGCUGAUUUAUUGGAUGGACAGCGGCGCAAGGGAGAGUAACGCGUGGAUUAUCUACCCUCAGACCAGGGAUAGCUGCGGGAAACUGCAGGUAAUACCUGAUAAUGUCUCCGGACCAAAGGUGCGAUUCCGUCUGAGGAUGAGUCCGCGUCCUACUAGCUUGUUGGUGAGGUAACGGCUCACCAAGGCUUUGAUGGGUAGCGGGUGUGAGAGCAUGACCCGUCUCACUGGGACUGAGACACUGCCCAGACACCUACGGGUGGCUGCAGUCGAGAAUCUUCGGCAAUGGGCGAAAGCCUGACCGAGCGACGCCGCGUGCGGGAUGAAGCCUUCGGGUUGUAAACCGCUGUCAGUAGGGAGAAAUGCUUAUGGGGGACUCCCCAAAGUUUGACCUUAUCUUCAAAG